UACGGAGGGUGCGAGCGUUGUCCGGAAUCAUUGGGCGUAAAGGGCGCGUAGGUGGCGGGACAAGCGUGCGGUGAAAGCUCGGGGCUCAACCCCGAGUCGGCCGUGCGAACUGUUUUGCUUGAGCACUGUAGAGGCAGGCGGAAUUCCGGGUGUAGCGGUGGAAUGCGUAGAGAUCCGGAAGAACACCGGUGGCGAAGGCAGCCUGCUGGGCAGUAGCUGACACUGAGGCGCGACAGCGUGGGGAGCAAACAGG
RNAcentral lists this ribosomal RNA (253 nucleotides) under uncultured bacterium. Its description in RNAcentral is "partial 16S ribosomal RNA". It matches the Rfam family "Bacterial small subunit ribosomal RNA", at positions 524 to 776 of the family's 1533-position model. The record is from RNAcentral.